CCGUGCUAAGCGGGGAGGUAGCGGUGCCCUGUACCCGCAAUCCGCUCUAGCGGGGCCGAAUCCCUUCUCGAGGUUCGUUUACUUUAAGGUCUGCCUUAAGUAAGUGGUGUUGACGUUUGGGUCCUGCGCAAUGGGAAUUCAUGAACCAUGUCAGGUCCGGAAGGAAGCAGCAUUAAGUGAAACCUCUCAUGUGCCGCAGGGUUGCCUGGGCUGAGCUAACUGCUUAAGUAACGCUUAGGGUAGCGAAUCGACAGAAGGUGCACGG
This 265-nucleotide signal recognition particle RNA is filed under the name Bacillus halotolerans. Its description in RNAcentral is "signal recognition particle sRNA large type". It matches the Rfam family "Bacterial large signal recognition particle RNA". Rfam says of the family: The signal recognition particle (SRP) is a universally conserved ribonucleoprotein involved in the co-translational targeting of proteins to membranes. The record is from RNAcentral. Lineage: Bacteria; Bacillati; Bacillota; Bacilli; Caryophanales; Bacillaceae.